This 468-nucleotide ribosomal RNA is filed under the name uncultured bacterium. Its description in RNAcentral is "partial 16S ribosomal RNA". It matches the Rfam family "Bacterial small subunit ribosomal RNA", at positions 28 to 507 of the family's 1533-position model. The record is from RNAcentral.
GACGAACGCUGGCGGCGUGCUUAACACAUGCAAGUCGAACGGAAAGGCCCUGCUUUUGUGGGGUGCUCGAGUGGCGAACGGGUGAGUAACACGUGAGUAACCUGCCCUUGACUUUGGGAUAACUUCAGGAAACUGGGGCUAAUACCGGAUAGGAGCUCCUGCUGCAUGGUGGGGGUUGGAAAGUUUCGGCGGUUGGGGAUGGACUCGCGGCUUAUCAGCUUGUUGGUGGGGUAGUGGCUUACCAAGGCUUUGACGGGUAGCCGGCCUGAGAGGGUGACCGGCCACAUUGGGACUGAGAUACGGCCCAGACUCCUACGGGAGGCAGCAGUGGGGAAUAUUGCACAAUGGGCGGAAGCCGGAUGCAGCAACGCCGCGUGCGGGAUUACGGCCUUCGGGUUUUAAACCGCUUUCGCCUGUGACGAAGCGUGAGUGACGGUAAUGGGUAAAGAAGCACCGGCUAACUACGUG